This 205-nucleotide long non-coding RNA is filed under the name Pan troglodytes (chimpanzee). Its description in RNAcentral is "long non-coding RNA NONPTRT011324". The record is from RNAcentral. Lineage: Eukaryota; Metazoa; Chordata; Mammalia; Primates; Hominidae.
CCUGGGAGGUGGAGGUUGCAGUGAGCUGAGAUCACUCCAUUGCAUUCCAGCCUGGGCGACAAGAGCAAAACUCUGUCUCAAAAAAAAAAAAAAAUAAGUAGCACAUUUCAUCAUCAAAUGCUUUUGCUGCAUCUGCUGAGCCAUAUGGAGGGUGUUUUUUUUUUCCCUCCCCGCUCCCCUUAACCUCCUUUAAUGUAAUCUCUGA